This 27-nucleotide non-coding RNA is filed under the name Mus musculus (house mouse). Lineage: Eukaryota; Metazoa; Chordata; Mammalia; Rodentia; Muridae. The record is from RNAcentral.
ACCGAUAGUCUUGCAAAGGAUUCUGGG